Molecule: long non-coding RNA, 516 nt
Filed under: Neogale vison (American mink)
Lineage: Eukaryota; Metazoa; Chordata; Mammalia; Carnivora; Mustelidae
Description: Neovison vison (American mink) lncRNA (ENSNVIG00000002656.1)
Source: RNAcentral
AAACAGAUGAACACAUUGAGGUUCCUGCCUUUGGUGAGAAGCUGUGGAGAAAAUUUUGAGAAGAUGCACUAUAUAUCUACGUGCUCUCUUCUUCCCAGCUACAACGUGGGUCUGUGCUCGCCUUCUCUGAGCCCUAAGACUGCCUACCUCCCUAACAGCUUUUCACAGGACAGGGAGUGUCACCAAUGGCAGCUAUAUGAAAAUCUCCACACAGGGAUUAGAGACUGCUUUCAAGAUGCUGCCCCCCCCACCCCUGCACACCUGUCCAGGUGGCUGUAUUUGCUGGAACACCGGGCCUGCUUCUAUAAAUUUGAGGUCACCAGCAUGCCUGUGAGAUCCUCAGCUGUAGCAAAAAUAUUGGAGGCUAUGGUUUCCAGAAAGAAUCAAGAAUCAAGCAGGUACUUCAUGGUCACAGCAGGUAUGGACAGAACCCCAGGGGUCUGCCCUUGAUGAACUCAUGAUCUCUAAUAACCAACUUCUGGAUGCUGGGUGACCUGCAUUUGGGGUGGGGUGGCA